RNAcentral lists this ribosomal RNA (442 nucleotides) under uncultured bacterium. RNAcentral describes it as "partial 16S ribosomal RNA". It matches the Rfam family "Bacterial small subunit ribosomal RNA", at positions 338 to 795 of the family's 1533-position model. The record is from RNAcentral.
CCUACGGGAGGCAGCAGUGAGGAAUAUUGGUCAAUGGGCGCGAGCCUGAACCAGCCAAGUAGCGUGAAGGAAGAAUGCUUUCGGGUUGUAAACUUCUUUUGACAGGGAAGAGUAGAAGACGGUACCUGUCGACUAAGCCACGGCUAACUACGUGCCAGCAGCCGCGGUAAUACGUAGGUGGCAAGCGGUGUCCGGAUUUACUGGGUGUAAAGGGCGUGUAGCCGGGUUGACAAGUCAGCUGUGAAAUCCUGCGGCUUAACCGCAGAACUGCAUUUGACACUGUUGAUCUUGAGUACUGGAGAGGCAGACGGAAUUCCUAGUGUAGCGGUGAAAUGCGUAGAUAUUAGGAGGAACACCAGUGGCGAAGGCGGUCUGCUGGACAGCAACUGACGGUGAGGCGCGAAAGCGUGGGGAGCAAACAGGAUUAGAUACCCGGGUAGUC